This 443-nucleotide ribosomal RNA is filed under the name uncultured prokaryote. RNAcentral describes it as "bacterial SSU rRNA". It matches the Rfam family "Bacterial small subunit ribosomal RNA", at positions 355 to 796 of the family's 1533-position model. The record is from RNAcentral.
UCACGAAUCAUUGGCAAUGCGCGCAAGCGUGACCAUGCAACGCCGCGUGGGCGAUGAAGGCCUUCGGGUUGUAAAGCCCUGUCAGGGGUGAGGAAAUGUACGGGUCCACUCGUACUUGACGUUAGCCCCAGAGGAAGUCACGGCUAACUCCGUGCCAGCAGCCGCGGUAAUACGGAGGUGGCGAACGUUGCUCGGAAUCACUGGGCUUAAAGGGCGUGUAGGCGGUUGAUCAAGUCGGGUGUGAAAGCCCUCGGCCUAACCGAGGAACUGCAUUCGAUACUGGUCGGCUAGAGUGCGGGAGGGGUAAGUGGAACUCCAGGUGUAGCGGUGAAAUGCGUAGAUAUCUGGAGGAACGCCGGUGGCGAAAGCGACUUACUGGCCCGCAACUGACGCUGAGGCGCGAAAGCUAGGGGAGCGAACGGGAUUAGAUACCCCCGUAGUCC